RNAcentral lists this ribosomal RNA (305 nucleotides) under uncultured bacterium. RNAcentral describes it as "bacterial SSU rRNA". It matches the Rfam family "Bacterial small subunit ribosomal RNA", at positions 336 to 658 of the family's 1533-position model. The record is from RNAcentral.
CUCCUACGGGGGGCAGCAGUGGGGAAUAUUGCACAAUGGGGGAAACCCUGAUGCAGCGACGCCGCGUGAGUGAAGAAGUAUUUCGGUAUGUAAAGCUCUAUCAGCAGGGAAGAAAAUGACGGUACCUGACUAAGAAGCCCCGGCUAACUACGUGCCAGCAGCCGCGGUAAUACGUAGGGGGCAAGCGUUAUCCGGAUUUACUGGGUGUAAAGGGAGCGUAGACGGCAGCGCAAGUCUGGAGUGAAAUCCCAUGGCUUAACCAUGGAACUGCUUUGGAAACUGUAUGGCUGGAGUGCAGGAGAGGG